RNAcentral lists this small nucleolar RNA (130 nucleotides) under Monopterus albus (swamp eel). RNAcentral describes it as "Small nucleolar RNA SNORA44 (ENSMALG00000005234.1)". It matches the Rfam family "Small nucleolar RNA SNORA44". Rfam says of the family: ACA44 is a member of the H/ACA class of snoRNA that guide the sites of modification of uridines to pseudouridines. Lineage: Eukaryota; Metazoa; Chordata; Actinopteri; Synbranchiformes; Synbranchidae. The record is from RNAcentral.
GAGCAUGCUAUCCUAAGGACCUGGGCUUGAUUGUAGCUCUAGGUUCUCCAAGUGCAUGCAAGAAAAUAGGGUGGUCUUUGACUGUUGUGGCCAUUUGUGCCACUAGCAGCCACUCAGCUGUCCUACACCA